Molecule: long non-coding RNA, 536 nt
Organism: Daucus carota subsp. sativus
Lineage: Eukaryota; Viridiplantae; Streptophyta; Magnoliopsida; Apiales; Apiaceae
Exons: 4
Source: RefSeq, a predicted model, not a curated record
CAAAUUAUGAUGUAGGCUCCACCACUUGGGGAGACCUUAGGAACUUCCAAAGUGCAAUGGAAGUUGCUUCCCUAGGCCAUGGGCCUCAAUGAUCACCCAUUGACCCCAUCCAGUUUCCGGCCCGGUGAGUGGAGUUGCUUUGCCUUGGAUGACAGGCGCGAGAAAAGUUGGAACGGUGUAAACUCUUUACAUGCAGCGUCGCUCCUCAAAAACAUAUGCUCUCCAUCGAGCUUCUAGUUUUCGGAGUUGAGACUGGGGAAAGUUGAGAUGGGAGCUGUGUUGGUCGGUGUUUUUUCCGCAAAAGAGGUAUCACUUUUUAAAAGUAUAAUCUCUUCAAACCUUUUUAACUUUUGGAGUUGAGACGGGACAUUCAAGCUGAAAUGGGAAUUAGCAUUCGAUUGGUCCUGAUAUUCAAAGUUUGUUUCGUACGUCCAUUCAAAUCAGUUUCCGGCCCGGUGAGUGGAGUUGCUUUGCCUAGGAUGACAGGCGCGAGAAAAGUUGGAACGGUGUAAACUCUUUACAGGCAGCGUCGCUCC